UACAACUGACCCCGAGUAUGCCGCUACCAAAGAGGAAAGGUCUUCGGGGCAUUUACAAUUAUUUAGUUCAUGGUCAAAGACUGCAUGAACGAACGAUCGAAAAUUUGAAGAUCUUACGACUUGUAGGAGUAUGCCUGAUAUUUUCAUAUGGGUUCACCAAAUACACACAACGGAUGGGUCCGAUGAAAGUGUCGAAGUUGGAGUUGGAGGAUCUUGAAUUACCCGAAAAAUCACAGAGACCAUGAUUUUGCCAAAAGAUAUUGUGUGGAUGGAACUAGAUUCAAGCAGUGACAGAAUGGUGAUGUGUUUUUAGAAGAUGCUGCUCACAAGUCAAGACAUUUGUCAGCUUUCUUUAUGUAUGAAGUGCUGAGGAGUUUUAGAAACCAUGAUUUAGAUUAUAAAGACUUUCGACGAUAAUGAAACCUUAGGUUUGAUGAUUUACUUUCUGGUUUAACUUGGUGUUGAUAUACAAUUGUAUUCAGCCGGUUUGGGUACAUUAGGAUAAAUAUACAGAGCUGCACUUAUAAUGGGACUCAACAUACUGUGUAAUUUUGAAAAAAAAAAUACUUAAAAUAAUUGAAAACUGAUUGAAUAAUUUUUUGAUCAUCCUAAAAUACACAAAUUUUGAAUACAAAUAUGCAUUAUUUCUUGACUGAAUAUGUUUCAGAUUUUAAUUCAGAAAAAAGCGAUGUUGAUUUGAUUUAAAAGCUGAUUUUUAAAACUUGACUUGUGGUAAUAUUUCAAUUCAGUAUGAGUGUUGUGAGGAUGAAUUGUAUGUAGACAAGUUCUUUACAAAAUUGUAUAUACUUAUGUUUUUUCUCUAAAGAAUUGUACAGGUUUAUACAUAAAAAUGUGAUAUGAGGAA
Molecule: long non-coding RNA, 865 nt
Organism: Ylistrum balloti
Lineage: Eukaryota; Metazoa; Mollusca; Bivalvia; Pectinida; Pectinidae
Exons: 2
Source: RefSeq, a predicted model, not a curated record